Molecule: ribosomal RNA, 207 nt
Filed under: uncultured bacterium
Lineage: Bacteria
Description: partial 16S ribosomal RNA
Rfam family: Bacterial small subunit ribosomal RNA
Source: RNAcentral
CGCGUAGGCGGUUGAUUAAGUCGGAUGUGAAAGCCCUGGGCUUAACCUGGGAACUGCAUUCGAUACUGUUCGACUAGAGUACGAGAGAGGGAGGUAGAAUUCCACGUGUAGCGGUGAAAUGCGUAGAUAUGUGGAGGAAUACCGGUGGCGAAGGCGGCCUCCUGGCUCGAUACUGACGCUGAGGUGCGAAAGCGUGGGGAGCAAACA